Lepidothrix coronata (blue-crowned manakin) is the source of this 104-nucleotide long non-coding RNA. RefSeq lists it as uncharacterized. The transcript has 3 exons. Lineage: Eukaryota; Metazoa; Chordata; Aves; Passeriformes; Pipridae. The record is from RefSeq and is a predicted model, not a curated record.
CAGUCUGAGCAGCACAUGAAGUUGUCUUCUUCUCUGAAGUUGUCUUCUUCUCUAGAAAGUAUCUCCACAGUGUCUCCAAUGAUGCAGAUGGGAAGAGCACACAU